Non-coding RNA from Dermacentor andersoni, 2995 nucleotides. The record is from RefSeq and is a predicted model, not a curated record. Lineage: Eukaryota; Metazoa; Arthropoda; Arachnida; Ixodida; Ixodidae.
UUAUCGUGUCGUGUUGUAAAAGUUAAUUUGCCGUAAAUACCUCUUGAUUUGUACUCAAGAGUGGAGCAAGACCCCAAGGAAGAGAGGUUGACGCAUCGGGAGCGAAGAACAGAAACGAUGGAUGGUUGCGCUGCUUGGGUCUCGGCACGUUCGCAAAGUUCCGAAUUUGUCGCCGUGUGGUGUACGCUUGUGCGCUUGUCAUUUGCUGUCAUCGCGCGGGGAUAUUUGCGCUGAAUGUCUUUCACUUCGUGUACAAAACUCUGCACGCUGCGGCAUCGAAGAAGUUGUCCUGUGUUCGUAUGCGCCUGGACACGCGAUAGCCUGCUUGCUCUCAACGGGUGUUCAACAGUCUACGCGUGCUCGUAACCUGCUCAUGAGGCAAGUUGCUGUUGUUCUGUUGGAGCUGAGAAGAGGUCUGUUGCCUGCAAUGGGUCCAUCUCUCUCAAGUUAUCGCAGUAUUGUAGCUCUCAAAGUUCAAAAAAGUAUGGUAGAAGCAGUUGCCAAGUUUCCGACCAGAAAAGAAAGCCAGUAUGAAAAGGUCCACACCACUGAUCUCUACUACAGGGGAUGGACAGCACAUUGAGUGCUCUCGACUGAAGCCAACCUUGUCCCGGAAGUUGGUGCUUCAUAACUUUGCAGUCGCACUUUGUCUGCACGGAUGUGUGGCAUUUCUUCCCCUAACUGGCCUGCCUGACGUGCCAUAGCAUACUCAAGCAGUGUUUUGAGGUGUCCAGAAUUUUUCCAUUGCAGUGUCCACAGUGUCGCUAACAUAAGUGGCGUGCAGUGGAAACACUGGUAAAUGAGAAAAAAACUUGUGAAAAGCCACAAAGAAAAAAUUUUUUACGGCAGCAAUAUUAUCCGAUCGCUCACACUAGUUAGCCCACCAUACGCCCUACUUCCAGGACAAGCGACUGCAUGACACCGCAUUUCCACUGGCUUCACCUGCAUCCGGUGCAGUGUACUGCAUUCAGCAAAACAUAUUGGAAAUCAGUGGUGCACAGUGUUUUCUGUCCCCUUUCUCGAUGCCUACUGAACACAUGGUAAACUGUUUCCAAAGCAGAAAGACGGAGGGAAAGGGCUCUGAACACAUUGCAUUUUAAUGUGGCUGGCAGUGGGUAACGCAAGUACUGUGGCAUAGAUUUGCGCCAGGCAACCUGGGAGCCGAAAAAGACUGCUGGUUACUUGCAAAUGGCCAACACGUUGUUGGCAUGUUGAAGUUCUUUUUUAAUCUCAUCGCUUAUUUAGCCAUUGGAGACAGCUUUCACAACUGGAGAAGCCUUGGAAGCAUGAAACACUUAGCAAAACCAGCGUCAAUAUAUCGUGUGUCGGCAUACAUAAUUUCAUGGCUGCAUGUGUGAACCCUCUGGUUAACAUGUAAGAGUGUUCAUGUUUGCCAUGCAUUAUCGACUUUAUCUACAGGUCAACCCUAUCUUGAGACUUAAGCUGAUGUUGUGUUUAGAGAAAUUAUGGCCGAGAGCCAGUUUUUGAGAAUGCAGACUGAGCUCGACAGUUCAAACGCUAGAACAAGUUGUUGAGGAUUUCAGAUCAAGAAUCUUCAUAGGCCAGUUCAUUUAGUGGUGUUAAUAUUCUGCUCAAAGUUGUUGAUUGUAACGUUCAUAUGGUGCCCAAGCAUUACGCAACGACUUCACUUGGAGUACAUAGCAAGGGUGUACUCGAUGUAAGCUGGUGGCUUUUUUCUGCAUUUUCAAAAACUGGUUUCUUGUUCAGUUGAGAUUUUCAAAUUUUGCAUUGUUUAUUAGGUGUUGUGUCCUGCUUCCUUUUCCUGCAGCUUCUUAAACAUCUGAAUAGUGAACACAACUUGACUUUUGCUUGAUUUUCUAGAUUACACGCCCUUGAUGCUGGAUUACACGCCCUUGAUGCAAAACAAUUUUACUUCAAAACUGCUUGUACCUUACUGUUGUGUGCUACAUAAAAGUGUUUUUCCAAGGACUAAGCCUGCGAAUAGACGUAAAGUGUCUUGAGUGGCCAGUCAGGUGGCAAUUUUGUGGUGCAAAGCCACGAAUACGACUUAAAUGAGUAAGACUUAGGUAAGAAAAUUAUCCUUCUUUAUGCAGCCUGUGGAGACAAGGUUUGUUAGAAUGGCCAUGGCCCUCAAGGAAGAUGCAGAGGCCACAGGCAGUUCCUCCAGUGACCAUGAAAAGCUCGCCAUGCACCCGGGAUACGAGUUUACCACGGAGACGAACAGGCACCUGCGAGCUACCGGGCACAAAGUCAACUCCAUCAAUGCUCAAAACCAUGAACAAGGACUUGCCAUGCACCCGGGAUCAGAGUUUACCACGGAGACGAACGGGCACCUGCUAGCUACCGGGGACAAAAUCAACUCCAUCAAUGCUCAAAACCAUGAACAAGGACUCGCCAUGCACCCGGGAUAAGAGUUUACCACGGAGACGAACGGGCACCUGCUAGCUACCGGGGACAAAAUCAACUCCAUCAAUGCUCAAAGCCAUGAACAAGGACUCUCCAUGCACCCGGGAUAAGCGUUUACCACGGAGACGAACGGGCACCUGCUAGCUACCGGGGACAAAAUCAACUCCAUCAAUGCUCAAAACCACGAACAAGGACUCGCCAUGCACCCGGGAUACGAGUUCACCACGGAGACUAACGGGCACCUGCUAGCUACCGGGGACAAAAUCAACUCCAUCAAUGCUCAAAACCAUGAACAAGGAUUCGCCAUGCACCCGGGAUACGAGUUUACCACGGAGACGAACGGGCACCUGCUGGCUGCGGGCACCUGCUAGCUACUGGGGACAAAAUAAACUCCAUCAAUGCUCAAAACCAUGAGCAAGGACUCUCCAUGCACCCGGGAUACGAGUUUACCACGGAGACGAACGGGCACCUGCUAGCUACCGGGGACAAAAUCAACUCCAUCAAUGCUCAAAACCAUGAACAAGGAGUCACGUCCACGCUCGUCAUCCAAACUUGGGUCCCGGUGGCAGGGGACAUCUCACUAUGGUAGUGAAACACCAGUCUUAUU